Molecule: ribosomal RNA, 164 nt
Filed under: uncultured bacterium
Lineage: Bacteria
Description: partial 16S rRNA
Rfam family: Bacterial small subunit ribosomal RNA
Source: RNAcentral
UAGGGAAUCUUCCACAAUGGGCGCAAGCCUGAUGGAGCAACACCGCGUGAGUGAAGAAGGGUUUCGGCUCGUAAAGCUCUGUUGUUAAAGAAGAACACGUAUGAGAGUAACUGUUCAUACGUUGACGGUAUUUAACCAGAAAGUCACGGCUUACUACGCGCCAG